Podarcis lilfordi (Lilford's wall lizard) is the source of this 74-nucleotide non-coding RNA. Lineage: Eukaryota; Metazoa; Chordata; Lepidosauria; Squamata; Lacertidae. The record is from the annotation of a GenBank genome assembly.
UGCAGGACAGCUCAGUUGGUAAAGCAUGAAACCCUUAAUCUCAGGGCCCUGGGUUCAAGCCCUAUGUUGGGCAA